RNAcentral lists this ribosomal RNA (829 nucleotides) under uncultured Staphylococcus sp. Its description in RNAcentral is "SSU rRNA". It matches the Rfam family "Bacterial small subunit ribosomal RNA", at positions 61 to 871 of the family's 1533-position model. The record is from RNAcentral. Lineage: Bacteria; Bacillati; Bacillota; Bacilli; Caryophanales; Staphylococcaceae.
GUCGAGCGAACAGACGAGGAGCUUGCUCCUCUGACGUUAGCGGCGGACGGGUGAGUAACACGUGGAUAACCUACCUAUAAGACUGGGAUAACUUCGGGAAACCGGAGCUAAUACCGGAUAAUAUAUUGAACCGCAUGGUUCAAUAGUGAAAGACGGUUUUGCUGUCACUUAUAGAUGGAUCCGCGCCGCAUUAGCUAGUUGGUAAGGUAACGGCUUACCAAGGCAACGAUGCGUAGCCGACCUGAGAGGGUGAUCGGCCACACUGGAACUGAGACACGGUCCAGACUCCUACGGGAGGCAGCAGUAGGGAAUCUUCCGCAAUGGGCGAAAGCCUGACGGAGCAACGCCGCGUGAGUGAUGAAGGUCUUCGGAUCGUAAAACUCUGUUAUUAGGGAAGAACAAAUGUGUAAGUAACUAUGCACGUCUUGACGGUACCUAAUCAGAAAGCCACGGCUAACUACGUGCCAGCAGCCGCGGUAAUACGUAGGUGGCAAGCGUUAUCCGGAAUUAUUGGGCGUAAAGCGCGCGUAGGCGGUUUUUUAAGUCUGAUGUGAAAGCCCACGGCUCAACCGUGGAGGGUCAUUGGAAACUGGAAAACUUGAGUGCAGAAGAGGAAAGUGGAAUUCCAUGUGUAGCGGUGAAAUGCGCAGAGAUAUGGAGGAACACCAGUGGCGAAGGCGACUUUCUGGUCUGUAACUGACGCUGAUGUGCGAAAGCGUGGGGAUCAAACAGGAUUAGAUACCCUGGUAGUCCACGCCGUAAACGAUGAGUGCUAAGUGUUAGGGGGUUUCCGCCCCUUAGUGCUGCAGCUAACGCAUUAAGCACUCCG